UACAGAGGGGGCUAGCGUCGUUCGGAAUUACUGGGCGUAAAGGGCUCGUAGGCGGCCAACUAAGUCAUACGUGAAAUCCCUCAGCUUAACUGGGGAACUGCGUGUGAUACUGGAUGGCUUGGAUUUGGGAGAGGGAUGCGGAAUUCCAGGUGUAGCGGUGAAAUGCGUAGAUAUCUGGAGGAAUACCGGUGGCGAAGGCGGCAUCCUGGACCGACAUUGACGCUGAGGAGCGAAAGCCAGGGGAGCGAACAGG
RNAcentral lists this ribosomal RNA (253 nucleotides) under uncultured bacterium. RNAcentral's name for it is "partial 16S ribosomal RNA". It matches the Rfam family "Bacterial small subunit ribosomal RNA", at positions 524 to 776 of the family's 1533-position model. The record is from RNAcentral.